AUGGGACGAGGUGGUGCAUGUUUCCACACGAAGGCCCCCCGUGCCUGCUGCCCGUCGGGUUAGGAGGCUGCGGAGUAGCAGACAGCACGUGACGAACACCGGUCGCGGGCACAAGAGGAAGACAUGGUACAAAGUGUCGGCGACGUAGGCGCUUGACGAAUACCGGUCGCAGAGACAACGAUGAGGACAUGGUACAGAGUGUCGGCAACGUAGGCGCGUGCAGUCGGCACAGGUAACAGUGCCAAGAAGCCACCCAGUGAGGGCAACUGACCCCGCCCCUUCCUGUUUAGCCUCCACAAAAACUCGAGACUCCCAGAAGAAGGCGUCAUUAUUGGUACGAGCGGCCCAACAAGUGGAGCUCCACUACCACUGUGACCUUGGCUAACCAACCCGAUAUUCAACUGCCUCAAAGAUGGUCGAACUGCUAGUCACAUGGGUUCCAGGAAGGAAAGGGCGGGAUCAGGAGAUCAGACGACGGAAAUGACGUCAGAGGUGGAACAGCUGUCCAUCUUGCAUUCUGCAGAGGGAAGAAGAGAGAAGGCAUUAGGACACAGCACCAACCCCUGGUUUGGUGGGUAACUACCAUCACCAGAGCCAUUGAGCUGCCUCACGAGCACAUGCUCAUGACAAUGUAAAAAGUAAAUCUAUACCUGUGAAGUCCCGAGAAAUGGUAUCCAUUAGAGCAUUGAUGUAUCAAAUAAGAGAGUUGGUGCCACAUUUGGACCCAAGAAGAAGGAUUAUUAUCAUAAUGACAUUGGAGCCAUACAUAGACAAAUAACAAUGGCUAUAUAUUAAAAACAGUAAAAGUUUCUCACAGGAAUAUUACCAAAAGAGAAAAAUGGGAAGCAAAUGUAUUGUUAAUAAAACAACACCAAUCUUUUAAA
Polypterus senegalus (gray bichir) is the source of this 884-nucleotide long non-coding RNA. RefSeq lists it as uncharacterized. The transcript has 3 exons. NCBI's taxonomy places the organism in Eukaryota, Metazoa, Chordata, Cladistia, Polypteriformes, Polypteridae. The record is from RefSeq and is a predicted model, not a curated record.